This 801-nucleotide long non-coding RNA is filed under the name Homo sapiens (human). RNAcentral's name for it is "HSALNT0126122". Lineage: Eukaryota; Metazoa; Chordata; Mammalia; Primates; Hominidae. The record is from RNAcentral.
UAGGUAGGUAGGGAGACGGGCAGGUAGGUAGACAGGUAGGUAUGUAGAUAAGUAGGUAGGCAGGUAGGUAGAUAGGUAGUUAGGUAGGCAGGUAGAUAGGUAAGUAGGUAGGUAGUUAGGCAGGUACAUAGAUAGGUAGGUAGGCAGGUAAAUAGGUAGCUAGAUAGGCAGGUAGAUAGGUAGGUAGGCAGGUACAUAGGUAGUUAGGCAGGUACAUAGAUAGGUAGGUAGAUAGGUAGGCAGGCAGAUAGGUAGGUAGGCAGGUAGGUAGGUAAGUAGAUAGGUAGGCAGGUAGGUAGGUAAGUAGAUAGGUAGGCAGGUAGAUAGGUAGUUAGAUAGGUAAGCAGGCAGGUAGAUAGGCAGGUAGGUAGGUAGGCAGGUAGAUAUGUAAGUAGGUAGGCAGGUAGAUAGGCAGGUAGGUAGGUAGGCAGGUAGGUAGGUAUGUAGGUAGGCAGGUAGGCAGGUAGAUAUGUAAGUAGGUAGGCAAGUAGAUAAGCAGGUAGGUAGGUAGACAGGUAGGCAGGUAGGUAGGUAUGUAGGUAGGCAGGUAGGUAUGUAGGUAGGCAGGCAGGCAGGUAGAUAGGUAGGUAGAUAGAUAGGCAGGUAGGUAGGUAGGUUGACAGGUAGGUAGGUAGCAUGACUACAGGGAGAUGAAGCCUGCUUUCAACAGCGCCGCUGCAGAACACAUCAGAUAGAAAAAGAAAACAACCUCGCUUCACAUUAAUGGAUGAGGCGCAGUCACGGUGGGUCUGCGCACCUCACUGGGAAGUGACCGUUUUCUACCCCACCAUUGUUUCCUAU